UACGGUGGGAGCAAGCGUUGUUCGGAUUUACUGGGCGUAAAGGGCGCGUAGGCGGCCACCGCAAGUCGAUUGUGAAAUCUCCGGGCUUAACCCGGAAAGGUCAACCGAUACUGCGGGGCUAGAGUGCAGAAGGGGCAACUGGAAUUCUCGGUGUAGCGGUGAAAUGCGUAGAUAUCGAGAGGAACACCUGCGGCGAAGGCGGGUUGCUGGGCUGACACUGACGCUGAAGUGCGAAAGCUAGGGGAGCGAACGGG
This 254-nucleotide ribosomal RNA is filed under the name uncultured bacterium. RNAcentral describes it as "partial 16S ribosomal RNA". It matches the Rfam family "Bacterial small subunit ribosomal RNA", at positions 524 to 776 of the family's 1533-position model. The record is from RNAcentral.